This 253-nucleotide ribosomal RNA is filed under the name uncultured bacterium. RNAcentral describes it as "partial 16S ribosomal RNA". It matches the Rfam family "Bacterial small subunit ribosomal RNA", at positions 524 to 776 of the family's 1533-position model. The record is from RNAcentral.
GACGAACCGUCCUAACGUUGUUCGGAAUCACUGGGCUUAAAGGGCGCGUAGGCGGGCUCUCAAGUCCGGGGUGAAAUCUUUCGGCUCAACCGGAAAAUAGCCUUGGAUACUGGGAGUCUCGAGCGAGGUAGGGGCGGGUGGAACUUCCGGUGGAGCGGUGAAAUGCGUUGAUAUCCGUAGGAACUCCGGUGGCGAAGGCGGCGUGCUGGACCCCUUCUGACGCUGAGGCGCGAAAGCCAGGGGAGCGAACGGG